Molecule: ribosomal RNA, 433 nt
Filed under: uncultured bacterium
Lineage: Bacteria
Description: partial 16S ribosomal RNA
Rfam family: Bacterial small subunit ribosomal RNA
Source: RNAcentral
AACGAACGCUGGCGGCAUGCCUAACACAUGCGAGUCGAACGAGACCUUCGGGUCUAGUGUCGCACGGGUGCGUAACGCGUGGGAACCUGCCCUUAGGUUCGGGAUAACUCCCCGAAAGGGGUGCUAAUACCGGAUAAUGUCUUCGGCCCAAAGAUUUAUCGCCUUUGGAUGGGCCCGCGUUGGAUUAGCUAGUUGGUAGGGUAAUAGCCUACCAAGGCGACGAUCCAUAGCUGGUCUGAGAGGCUGAUCAGCCACACUGGGACUGAGACACGGCCCAGACUCCUACGGGAGGCAGCAGUGGGGAAUAUUGGACAAUGGGCGAAAGCAUGAUGCAGCAAUGCCGCGUGAACGAUGAAGGCCUUAGGGUUGUAAAGCUCUUUUACCCGGGAUGAUAAUGACAGUACCGGGAGAAAAAGCUCCGGCUAACUCCGUG